Molecule: long non-coding RNA, 1206 nt
Filed under: Piliocolobus tephrosceles (Ugandan red Colobus)
Lineage: Eukaryota; Metazoa; Chordata; Mammalia; Primates; Cercopithecidae
Description: lncRNA (ENSPTEG00000004095.1)
Source: RNAcentral
AGAAAUUAAUAUUUUGAAUAACUACAUCAGAAGCGUUACUGAAAAUUCUCACGUGUCAUCGUCAUCAACAGAUGUCGAUAAUAAACUAGUAAAUAUUCUUUCCUUAUCAUUCUUAUCCUUCAUCGACCAUGUAAUAUUUGAUUCUCACAUAUACGCUUUAAAAAACGAAUCCACUAACGAUAAACAACUAAUUGAAAAUAAUACAAGCAAUUGCGCUAAAGAUAAUACAAGCAAUUGCGCUAAAGAUAAUACAAGCAAUUGCGCUAAAAACAAUACAAGCAAUUGCGCUAAAAACAAUACAAGCAAUUGUGAUCAUAACAACAUAAAAAUAAAAAAAGAUGAUACUACUAAUACAGAUAAUAAUACCCACACAAUAAAAAAAGAUUCAUUUGGUAAUAAUAAACUAACCUUAAAAAAUAUAAACGAAAGUACAUUUCAAAAGGAUAUCACAAAAUACUCAUAUAAUGCAGAAUGUCAUACUGUUAAUGAAUCUACUAAUUUUAAAAAAAAUACUUCUGUUGCAAACACAAAAAUUGUUUAUAAUCCUGAUAUAAUUAAUUUAUGUCUAACUAAUUUAUAUAACGAAGAUUUAGUAAACAAAUUUAUUGAAAAAAAAAAAAAGAAAAAGUACGAAGAAAAUAUUAAUUUCAAUGAUAAUAAAAGUGACCAUAAAACAAAUAACGUGUUUGGAAUAAACAACCAUACGUCCUCAAACAAUUAUAAAGAUGUUAAAGGAAUUGAAAACAUAAAAACAAAUAUUACCAGAGAAAUGCAUGAUCUAAAAAGUAGUAAUAAAAUGCAAAUCGAAGAAAAAAGCAAUUUAAAAAAAACUGAAAAUAAUUAUUUAAAAGAAACAAAAACUGAAAUAGAAAAAAAACAAAAUACAAAUUUUCAUCAUCAUAAUAAUAAUUCAAUAAAAACAAAUAUUAAUAAUAAAUUAUAUCAAAGAAAUGUUAUAAUUAACAAAAUAAAUGAAACAAUUAAAGCAAAAAGUGAUAGUAAUAAUAAUAAUAAUAAUAACAAUAAUAAAUUACAAAAUUUUGCAUAUAACAAAAAUUAUUCGCUAAAUGAUAUAUUUGAACUUUAAUUAUUUAUUUUUUAUUUAUUUUUUUUUUUUGCAAAAUAUUAACAUUUUAUGAAAUUAUUUACAUUUUUUUUUUUUUUUUAACAUUUAUGGCAUAUGUGUUGGUUUUUUUUUUUUUUUUU